GUUUGAUCAUGGCUCAGAUUGAACGCUGGCGGCAGGCCUAACACAUGCAAGUCGAGCGGAAACGACACUAACAAUCCUUCGGGUGCGUUAAUGGGCGUCGAGCGGCGGACGGGUGAGUAAUGCCUAGGAAAUUGCCUUGAUGUGGGGGAUAACCAUUGGAAACGAUGGCUAAUACCGCAUAAUGCCUACGGGCCAAAGAGGGGGACCUUCGGGCCUCUCGCGUCAAGAUAUGCCUAGGUGGGAUUAGCUAGUUGGUGAGGUAAUGGCUCACCAAGGCGACGAUCCCUAGCUGGUCUGAGAGGAUGAUCAGCCGCACUGGAACUGAGACACGGUCCAGACUCCUACGGGAGGCAGCAGUGGGGAAUAUUGCACAAUGGGCGAAAGCCUGAUGCAGCCAUGCCGCGUGUAUGAAGAAGGCCUUCGGGUUGUAAAGUACUUUCAGUUGUGAGGAAGGGGGUAGCGUUAAUAGCGCUAUCUCUUGACGUUAGCAACAGAAGAAGCACCGGCUAACUCCGUGCCAGCAGCCGCGGUAAUACGGAGGGUGCGAGCGUUAAUCGGAAUUACUGGGCGUAAAGCGCAUGCAGGUGGUUCAUUAAGUCAGAUGUGAAAGCCCGGGGCUCAACCUCGGAACCGCAUUUGAAACUGGUGAACUAGAGUGCUGUAGAGGGGGGUAGAAUUUCA
RNAcentral lists this ribosomal RNA (681 nucleotides) under uncultured Vibrionaceae bacterium. Its description in RNAcentral is "bacterial SSU rRNA". It matches the Rfam family "Bacterial small subunit ribosomal RNA", at positions 11 to 671 of the family's 1533-position model. Lineage: Bacteria; Pseudomonadati; Pseudomonadota; Gammaproteobacteria; Vibrionales; Vibrionaceae. The record is from RNAcentral.